RNAcentral lists this ribosomal RNA (468 nucleotides) under uncultured bacterium. Its description in RNAcentral is "partial 16S ribosomal RNA". It matches the Rfam family "Bacterial small subunit ribosomal RNA", at positions 28 to 507 of the family's 1533-position model. The record is from RNAcentral.
GACGAACGCUGGCGGCGUGCUUAACACAUGCAAGUCGAACGGAAAGGCCCUGCUUUUGUGGGGUGCUCGAGUGGCGAACGGGUGAGUAACACGUGAGUAACCUGCCCUUGACUUUGGGAUAACUUCAGGAAACUGGGGCUAAUACCGGAUAGGAGCUCCUGCUGCAUGGUGGGGGUUGGAAAGUUUCGGCGGUUGGGGAUGGACUCGCGGCUGAUCAGCUUGUUGGUGGGGUAGUGGCUUACCAAGGCUUUGACCGGUAGCCGGCCUGAGAGGGUGACCGGCGACAAUGGGACUGAGAUACGGACCAGACUCCUACGGGAGGCAGCAGGGGGGAAUAUUGCCCAAUGGGCCGAAGCCUGAUGCAGAAACGCCGCGUGCGGGAUGACGGCCUUCGGGUUGUAAACCGCUUUCGCCUGUGACGAAGCGUGAGUGACGGUAAUGGGUAAAGAAGCACCGGCUAACUACGUG